AACGAACGUUGGCGGCGUGGAUUAGGCAUGCAAGUCGAACGAAUCCCUGGUGGGUAACUGCUGGGGGGAAGUGGCGAAAGGGGCAGUAAGGCGUGGAUAACCUACCCCGAGGAUCGGGAUAGCCUUCCUAACGGAAGGGUAAUACCGGGCGACGUAACGAGGUGGCGUCAUCUGGUUACCAAAUGAGUUUCGCCUCGGGAGGGGUUCACGUGGUAUUAGCUAGUUGGUGAGGUAACGGCUCACCAAGGCCAAGAUGCCUAGCAGGUGUGAGAGCACGACCUGCGCCACUGGCACUGUGACACUGGCCAGACUCCUACGGGAGGCUGCAGUCGAGGAUCUUCGGCAAUGGGCGCAAGCCUGACCGAGCGACGCCGCGUGUGCGAUGAAGGCCUUCGGGUUGUAAAGCACUGUCGAGGGGGAGAAAGCCCGCAAGGGUUGAUCGAUCCCUGGAGGAAGCACGGGCUAAGUUCGUGC
Molecule: ribosomal RNA, 474 nt
Filed under: uncultured bacterium
Lineage: Bacteria
Description: bacterial SSU rRNA
Rfam family: Bacterial small subunit ribosomal RNA
Source: RNAcentral